UGAACGCUGGCGGCGUGCCUACUACAUGCAAGUCGAGCGAACGGACGAGAAGCUUGCUUUUCUGAUGUUAGCGGCGGACGGGUGAGUAACACGUGGAUAACCUACCUAUAAGACUGGGAUAACUUCGGGAAACCGGAGCUAAUACCGGAUAAUAUUUUGAACCGCAUGGUUCAAAAGUGAAAGACGGUCUUGCUGUCACUUAUAGAUGGAUCCGCGCUGCAUUAGCUAGUUGGUAAGGUAACGGCUUACCAAGGCAACGAUGCAUAGCCGACCUGAGAGGGUGAUCGGCCACACUGGAACUGAGACACGGUCCAGACUCCUACGGGAGGCAGCAGUAGGGAAUCUUCCGCAAUGGGCGAAAGCCUGACGGAGCAACGCCGUGUGAGUGAUGAAGGUCUUCGGAUCGUAAAACUCUGUUAUUAGGGAAGAACAUAUGUGUAAGUAACUGUGCACAUCUUGACGGUACCUAAUCAGAAAGCCACGGCUAACUACGUG
Molecule: ribosomal RNA, 495 nt
Filed under: uncultured bacterium
Lineage: Bacteria
Description: partial 16S ribosomal RNA
Rfam family: Bacterial small subunit ribosomal RNA
Source: RNAcentral